Molecule: transfer RNA, 73 nt
Filed under: Chryseolinea lacunae
Lineage: Bacteria; Pseudomonadati; Bacteroidota; Cytophagia; Cytophagales; Fulvivirgaceae
Description: Chryseolinea sp. Jin1 tRNA-Asn
Rfam family: tRNA
About the family: Transfer RNA (tRNA) molecules are approximately 80 nucleotides in length. Their secondary structure includes four short double-helical elements and three loops (D, anti-codon, and T loops). Further hydrogen bonds mediate the characteristic L-shaped molecular structure. tRNAs have two regions of fundamental functional importance: the anti-codon, which is responsible for specific mRNA codon recognition, and the 3' end, to which the tRNAs corresponding amino acid is attached (by aminoacyl-tRNA synthetases). tRNAs cope with the degeneracy of the genetic code in two manners: having more than one tRNA (with a specific anti-codon) for a particular amino acid; and 'wobble' base-pairing, i.e. permitting non-standard base-pairing at the 3rd anti-codon position.
Source: RNAcentral
GGACACAUAGCUCAGUUGGUAGAGUAGGGCAUUGUUAAUGCUCAGGUCGGUGGAUCGUGCCCAUCUGUGUCCG